UCUUUGGGUUCGGGCAAUUCGAAUUGAAGAACGCAGCGAAAUGCGAUAUUAAAUGUAAGUUGCAGAAUUCAGUGAAUCAUCGAGUCUUUGAACGGCACCAUUGCGCCCCUUGGUAUUCCGGGGGGCUGCCUGUCCGAGCGGCCAUUGCUGCCC
This 153-nucleotide ribosomal RNA is filed under the name uncultured Ascomycota. RNAcentral describes it as "5.8S ribosomal RNA". The stretch from base 25 to 143 matches the Rfam family "5.8S ribosomal RNA", at positions 37 to 154 of the family's 154-position model. Rfam says of the family: 5.8S ribosomal RNA (5.8S rRNA) is a component of the large subunit of the eukaryotic ribosome. It is transcribed by RNA polymerase I as part of the 45S precursor that also contains 18S and 28S rRNA. Lineage: Eukaryota; Fungi; Ascomycota. The record is from RNAcentral.